GGAAGUAAAAGUCGUAAACAAGGUUCCGUAGGUGAACCUGCGGAAGGAUCAUUCACAAACGAGUGUUUUAUGGCACUCUUUAAAAAUCCAUAUCCACCUUGUGUGCAAUGUUUGUUGGGAAAGUCUUUUCUUUCCCUUCAUAAAUAUCAACUUAUAUCUUUAACAACAUUCGUCUGAUAACAUAUUAUGAAUAUACUUAAUUCAAAAUAUAACUUUCAACAACGGAUCUCUUGGCUCUCGCAUCGAUGAAGAACGCAGCGAAAUGCGAUACGUAAUGUGAAUUGCAGAAUUCAGUGAAUCAUCGAAUCUUUGAACGCAUAUUGCGCUCUUUGGUAUUCCGAAGAGCAUGCUUGUUUGAGUAUCAGUAAACACCUCAACCUCUCUUUUUUUGUUCAAAAAAAAGGAGGGUGGACUUGAGCUAUCCCAACGGCCUUCAUCGGCAGGCGGGCGGCUUGAAAUGCAGGUGCAGCUGGACUUUUAUCUGAGCUAAAAGCAUAUCUAUUUAGUCCUCGUCAAACAGGAUUAUUACUUUUGCUGCAGCUAACAUAAAGGAUAAUUGUCCUCUUUGCUGACUGAUGCAGGAUUUUACGACACUUUAUGUGUUGUUCAACUCGAUCUCAAAUCAAGUAAGACUACCCGCUGAACUUAAGCAUAUCAUAAGCGGAGGA
RNAcentral lists this ribosomal RNA (668 nucleotides) under Mortierella sp. CY183. Its description in RNAcentral is "eukaryotic LSU rRNA". The stretch from base 211 to 364 matches the Rfam family "5.8S ribosomal RNA". The record is from RNAcentral. Lineage: Eukaryota; Fungi; Mortierellomycota; Mortierellomycetes; Mortierellales; Mortierellaceae.